AAAAACUCAUAGAGAGGUUCAGAUUUGACUUCCACUACUGCUACCUCUCACUGGCUUAGUAAACAUCUGAUUGGUUGAUUGGAUAUAUAAAACGCAUCUGAUUGGCUAAUGGUCCCUUAAUGGUAGUGGUCGUCAAAUCUGAACCUCACUAAUGUUAUCUUGUUUUAAAGACCAAAAAUCUUCAUGAAACUAUAGAAGGUGUGGGAAAGCAAUGCAUUAUAUCAAAAUGAUCGCUAGUUCCCAGACCUUCUAUUGUUUUAUAAUAUGUAAAUAUAUAUAAAGUAAAACUAACAUUAGACGUAGAGAUAUUUAUCAGACGAGUUUGAAAGAGAAGGCAUAUAAGUACAGACCUACACAUUUGACUGGAUUGACUAUCAAUUAUGUUAAAAACUAAGGGAUGUAGCUUUCUAAAGCACUGUGUAGCUUAUAGAUAGCCUAGUCCAGUCCUUCUCGCGUGACUGGAUCGAUUUUGAAACCCUUGUAUAGUAAGGUACCACCCUAAAAUAGUAAGGCGGAAGCGAAAAGGCGAGGAACUAGGCUGGGUUCAUGUUUGGACUAGCAUUUGGUAAGAAUGACAUCACAUGGGAAAUGAAGGGAGAUGAGCGCAUGUGACGUCAUACUGACCAAAUGCUAGCACAAAAUUGCCAAAACCAGCCGAGUAACGGUCUAGAUCAAUGAAUUUGAUGUUUUGUCCCUUUUUAACAAGUAUUAAUUGUGACUGUCGUGACGAAAGCGUAUUCGCCGGUGUACAAUAGUCUGGAACUAUCUUGGAUAUCGUGCUGGAUACAAAACAGUCUUAAUUAAUUGAUUGCAAAGAUAUAUUGUAGGCUCUGGAAUCUCAACUUGUCUUAAGACCGAUUUACCAACCCAACCUCCACAGGAGGGAAGUGCCUGGGAACGAGGUUGUUGCCAUCCCAGUGAAUGACAGUAAGGCCUACUGUACGUCGAUCAUCUUGACAUGUUGCGACAAUUAAAUUUAUGAUAGUGUAGAAAAGUCCCUCGUUACACCGCCUCCGUUUCAAUCCGCGAUAAGGGGUACUCGGCAAAUUGGCUUAGUAACCUUCUCAACUCUAAACCUCUGUCUUAACCCCGAAACCUGCAUUAAAUUUAUAUAAGAUUUAAGGUAAAUGUCCCUAUUGACAUCUUCACGACAGUUACGACCAAAUGGGGUUAAUCCUCCUGUGUAUUUUCUCUUAUCACAACUCGUCUUUAAUAUAUCUCAACAUAUUAGAGUAUAACAAAGUAUAACUUAAUAUUUUAAUAGUUACUACUGUACGACUAAAAGUUAAUCUGUUGGGUUUUUGUAUGUAACAAUAGUUCUAGUUUUGUUUGAAGAUUGAUUAUAUAUUACCUUAUCAUUGUGAUUCAUCUGUUAAUUAUAAUUGAU
Non-coding RNA from Paramuricea clavata, 1387 nucleotides. NCBI's taxonomy places the organism in Eukaryota, Metazoa, Cnidaria, Anthozoa, Malacalcyonacea, Plexauridae. The record is from the annotation of a GenBank genome assembly.